GAACGGUCGGCAGGCGAUCCGCGUCGGUCGCGCGAGGUGGUAUGGUUCCCCAGAGGCCGGUUCUUGUGCUGCCUACCCCUUCAGGGGAAGCGGGCCACUUGAUGUGUAAGCCUCCAUCCGGCGCCCUCCAACGGGCGCAGGAGGACAACGGAGCACCCCCCGCGUACCACCGAGCCUUCGUCGGUCGCGUGGCGCGCGGGGACGUGCGAUGCUCUCGGACCCAGCGAACGCCGUGGGCGAGGACUCACGUCCCAGUCCCGAUAGAAGCUUCGGUAUAAUGCAUGACGGCCGCUCCCGCCCCCCGACCGCCCCGGCGGCGCGUGGGCGAGGCGCGGCGUCGCGGAGGAAUGCUACCUGGU
Molecule: unclassified non-coding RNA, 359 nt
Filed under: Acacia alpina
Lineage: Eukaryota; Viridiplantae; Streptophyta; Magnoliopsida; Fabales; Fabaceae
Description: partial external transcribed spacer
Source: RNAcentral